Molecule: long non-coding RNA, 5335 nt
Filed under: Zea mays
Lineage: Eukaryota; Viridiplantae; Streptophyta; Magnoliopsida; Poales; Poaceae
Description: long non-coding RNA (ZMAY_LNC005342)
Source: RNAcentral
CGGCUAACGCCGCGGAAUCCGCGGAGGAUCUCCCGCACUUGUCGCGCGGCUUGACCGAACUCAUCCUCGCCCCUGGGUAUAAAUCCGUGGCCGCGGCAUCCCCUGGGCCAUUGGCGAGCUGCAUCACCGAACAGAGGGUUAGAGAAAGGAAGCGAGAUCCACCGCGAACGAAUCACGGGUACGCCAUCGAUAGAGACUCGACAGCGAGUCUGGGAGCUUCGUCGGUUACCCUGGGACGCGUUCGAUGCGGCACCGGGGUCGAUGGCCAACCUGGUGGCGGGGAAUUUCUCGCCGUCGCGCAGCGACGCCAUGAAUCCGUCGUGCGCCGUGGCCAAGCUUCAUCCGUACCUCAAUGCCGGUAAGAAUACAUCCAUUGUGAUCGCGAUGCCGCGCACACCGUGUAGCUCCGUUCAAUUUGACUGUGGUGCUCGGGGGAGGCCAAUUGGUGCCACAGUCGCGUUCUCCACCGUGUGGCCAUGGCGCCGCCUCUGCGCAGUUCCUUGGGGGUUGAAGAAGAGUGCGGGCCGUUAGAUCCAAAUGGGCGGUGCAGAUUAAAACCUAUGUACUGCUAUGGGCCAACCCGAUCCGGACCAUGGAUUUAUUGAUGUGUGGCUCGGGUUGUUUUCCCUUCAUGCUCACAAUCCGAUUCGUCCAGAUCUAAUCCAACGGCUGAGACUUAAAGAUACCCCUUCGCGAUGACAGUUUUAUUAAAGAGCCCCUGUAGUAUUCUCAAAUCAACCCGCCAUCCCUCGAUCGUAAGAAUAUUUCACAGAUAAGUCCCUGGAAUUAGCAGAAGAGCCCCUGGAAGUAUUAUUUAGGUAUAAAUUUAAUAGUAAAAUACCUAUAACCUUGUUUAAUCCAUAUCUCAUCCGUUUUAACUUCAAAUUGAUCCAUUCCAGUUGCAUUAAUUUUGUUUUAACACUGUUUAUCACCUAGUACCUUUGUUUAGCCAUGAAACUUAAUUUAAAAUCAUUCGCUUGAAUGACUCUAUUGUAGGUACUAAAUAACUCCAGAAAUUCAUACCUUGGUAACCGUAGCUCCGAAUGUAGUAAUUCUUGUUCCUACGAUCUCGUUGCGCAGCGUAGAAUAUUCUUAUAUAGUUUAUUCUUAUGUUUGGUGUGAUGUUAAUUUUGCCUAUACCAUGUAUGUUUGUAUUGCUACGACUAGCGCGAGGUCACGUGUCAUCUGAAGAGCAAGUUGGUACCUGGAAUCUCAAGUCCCAGGCAAGUUGUGCCCUUGAUCACUUCUUUUACCCACUCAUGUUCUAAUUAAUCAUAAUGAUCUGCAUAGGUUAAUUUUGAUGGGACCUAAUAGGUUAAUCUAGUUUGUCUAUCUUUAUGCCUUGUUUACCACUGAACUUUUUGGGUAGUACUUGCUAGUGCUAUAUGUGGUUUUGGGCAUUGAGAUACACAUUAUUCAUGAUUAUACUUUUGUUAUCCGUUGUUAUUUACUGUUCAUGUCAAGUUCAUUAAUGUUAAUUGGAACAUAGAGCUUAACUUGAGAAACACGUGCCACCACAAGGGUUUAUGGACGCCCUUGGCUGAUUAAUUAGGAGAGCUAGUGGAGGACUACCUUACCCGAAAGGGGCAAGGGUAGUAGGGGAGUGGUCAGUGUAGGGAGGUCCUUGGUUGAUUUUGCUGCGAUGGCGGUCAGGCAAGAACCCUGCAUUGGAGCUUCCUAUAAACUGUAGCGGGUUUUCUGAAGCUAGUGGAACUUUGUAAAGGCCUCGUAGUGUUACCCUGCCUCGCCUCCUCGGUAGAGGUGUAUGGGAAGUCGCGAUCCCUUGGCAGAUGGGUAACAUGACUUGUGGGUAAAGGGUACCACCUCUGCAGAGUGUAAAACUGGUAUACUAGCCGAGCUCACGGUCAUGAGCAGCUCAGGACUCUCUGAUGAUUAAAUUAUGAAACUUAAAUUCAAUUUGUCAUAUGCAUUGCAUCGCAGGUGAUGUUGUUACUUUUGUUCUACUACUUAAUUGGGUUGGUAUUUACUUAUACUUAGUAAUUGCUAAUAAAAUUUUGACCAACUUUAAAAGCAAUGCUCAGCUCUAACCAUCCUCUUUGGUAAGCCUUACACUUCACAUGAGCUCCCACCUUUGGCGAGUUCAUGCACAUUAUUCCCCACAACUUGUUGAGCAAUGAACGCAUGUGAGCUCACUCUUGCUGUCUCACACUCCCCACAGGUCAAGAAUAGGUACCGCAGGAUGAGGCGCAUGGAGGAUGUUGUGAUGAGUUCGUGAGAGAUCUAGGCCGUCGUCUCCCAGUCAACUUUGGGUUGCUGGACCGCUGUCUCCUUAUAAUGUAAUUAUUUAUUUAUUUUGUAUAGAACUCCUAUUAUGUAGUAAAGAUGUGACAUUCGAUCCUGUGCCAUGAUUCAUCAUAUGUGUGAGACUUGGUCCCAGCACACCUGGUGAUUAUGUUCGUGCCCGGGUCUUGGUGCCCCUCAAACCCGGGUGUGACAGAAGUGGUAUCAGAGGAAUGUUGACUGUAGGACGAAACCUAGAUAGAACUGGACAACCAAUACUUACUUACCUUUGCUACUCUGAUUCUUUUCUAAACUUAUCUUAAUCUUUUCUCAUCUAUUUCCGCUUUACUCUGAUUAUUCUUACCUUUUUCUUCUGAAGACAAAUGUGGAUUUCACACUUUGAAAUCAUGUGCCUAAAGUGACUUUAGGAAUAGGAGACCUUCUCUUAGGAACAAAAAUAAAACUAUUUUUAUAGGUAUCUAUACGCUUGAGUGUUUGUUCUUAUGAUACUUGUUUGAUUUGGAUCUUUAAUUGAGUGUCAUUAGUUGUGGAGUAAUGACCAAAAUUACUUCUACAUAUACGCAUAGAUAUAAAUAAAUAAAACUCAUGAGAUAACUAAACAACUUAGAUUAUCCUCCAUUAAAGUGUAUCUAUUUCAUAUAGAUCCCUCUCACCUUAAAAGACCCUCUCUUAACUUUAAUGGAUCCCUCUUAACUUAAAGGAAUCUAUCUCAUCCUAAUAGGAUCAUCUUGUGUAAAAAAUAUCUUAUCCUCCUAAACUGUUUAUAAGAUAAACUAGACCAACUAGAAUAUAUCAAAUGGAUCUAUCUUAUCUCGAAGGAUUCUCUCUCAUCUUAAAAGAUACUUUCUUAAUAGAUUCAUAUUAUCUUGAAAGGUUCCCUCUUAACUUAAAAUAGAUCCAUCCUACCUUAAAAGAUACUCUCCUAUCUUACUAGAUCCAUUUUACCUUAACAAAUUCCAUCUUAUCUUACAAGAUUCUCUCUCGUCUUAAUAGAUUCAUCUUAUCUUAAAAGAUUCUUUCUUAUCUUAAUAAGAUCCAUCUUAUCUCGAAAAGAUUCUAUCCUAUCCUAAUAGAUCUGACCAAUCUCAGAAGAUUCUAUCUUACUCUUGGAGACUCAUCUUGUCCUAAUCAGCAUACUUACCCCCACCAAUUUGCUUAUCUCAUAAAAGUGUAACAAGCAUGAUGUAUUCUAAAAUAAAUUAAGUAGAUCUUAUCUAGUCUAUGUCACCCAUAUCCAUCUUAACCAUACUCCGGUAACUUUGAUGAUAUACACUGACCUCGAAUCAAUGAGCUCAAGACCGGAGAAGAAAGGAUCAACCUCGUCAAGAAAGGAGAGAGGUCAAACCCAACCUUCAGAUGCAUUACCACUUAACACGGAAUUCUUUCCCAUCAUAAACUUGCUUACCCUAGGCUAUUCUUGCCCUAACCUAUCUUGUAUCCUACACAAUAAGGUGACUAUACAUAUAUAUACCCAUGCUUUCACAACUACUUUCUAAAUAACAUGAAACUUCUUAUUUAUAAACUAACUAGAAGUUAAAGGCUAAACUAUAAAUAAAAGCUUUUUACAUCCCUGUCCUUACAAAUCUCGAGGACGAGAUUUCCGUUAAGGGGAGUAGGAUUUGUAAUACCCAACUUAUAAUUUGUGAAGGAUAACCUAAAAGGAGAAAUGACAUUCCUUUGUAUAUAUGUGUGUUGUCCAUAUUUAUCAUUUCAUGAGAACAUCACAUGAAAACAAAAAAAUAUAAAAUAUCUGCCACUAAAUUAUGCAUCAUGCUGGACUUUAUUUGGUGUGCAUUUUGUGACAAUAUAAAAGGAAUAACAUGGAAAAAUAAUAAUGAGAAGAGAAUUGGAUUUAAUCCCAAAAGUGCAAAUUGGGGAAAAUUGGAAAUAAUAAAUACUAUACAAAACAAAAUAAAAGCUAUACAUAAAUAAAUAACUACGAUACUAGUAUGUUUAUUUUGUACAUUAAUUUGGGUACAAGUUCACAACACUAUUUGAAUUCAAAUUUGAGAUUUAAAUUUAAAAGAGAAGAGGAAGAAAAUGAAAUAAAGAAAAAAAGGCUUCACUUGGCGUAGUGGACCAACUUCUUCUCCCCGGCCCAUUCCCCUUACUCUUGCAGCCCAGUUCUCUACCAGUGUGCGCGCUUGCGCCAAACCCUAGCCGCCAUGUGGGCCCACGUACCGCCCCGUCAGCCUCACAUCGCGCGCGCUGCGGAAACAACCUCUUACGCGUGGGCCGCCUGGGUCAGUGACCGCUGCGCCUCUGCCACUUGGGCCCUGCGAACAGACUCUCCUCCCAGCUCCCGAUCGUGGCGGACUCCAACGAAUCCGUCGAUCUCUGCGCGCGGCAAGAUCCGAUCCCGGCCGUGUUUCUCGCCGCCCGUGCUGGCCUAACUUGCCCUCUCUGCUCUUACCGCUGAUGGUGUCUCACCUGCCUAGACCGAGCCUCUCGCCUGGGAGCUCGCCAGGGUCGUUGAGUUCGGCCGGAGUCUUCGCCGCGGUGUCCGCGACUACUGGGCGCCCGUGAAUAAGAGGGAAGGAAUCGCCGCUGCCCUGAGCCACUCGCCGCGCGCCUUGCGGAUUCGGGGGUGGGGUCCACCGAACAAAUUCAUCCCCUCCCUGCGUUCCGUUGCGCACGGCUAACGCUGCGGAAUCCGCGGAGGAUCUCCCGCACUUGUCGCGCAGCUUGACCGAACUCGUCCUCGCCCCUGGGUAUAAAUCCGUGGCCGCGGCAUCCCCUGGGCCAUUGGCGAGCUGCAUCACCGAACAGAGGGUUAGAGAAAGGAAGCGAGAUCCACCGCGAACGAAUCACAGGUAUGCCAUCGAUAGAGACUCGACAGCGGGUCUGGGAGCUUCGUCGGUUACCCUGGGACGCGUUCGAUGCGGCACCGGGGUCGAUGGCCAACCUGGUGGUGGGGAAUUUCUCGCCGUCGCGCAGCGACGCCAUGAAUCCGCUGUGCGCCGUGGCCAAGCUUCAUCCGUACCUCAAUGCCGGUAAGAAUACAUCCAUUGUGAUCGCGAUGCCGCGCACACCGUGUAGCUCCGUUCAAUUUGACUGUGGUGCUCGGGGGAGG